Molecule: ribosomal RNA, 823 nt
Filed under: Halarcobacter bivalviorum
Lineage: Bacteria; Pseudomonadati; Campylobacterota; Epsilonproteobacteria; Campylobacterales; Arcobacteraceae
Description: bacterial SSU rRNA
Rfam family: Bacterial small subunit ribosomal RNA
Source: RNAcentral
GAGAACGGGUAUUAGCUUGCUAAUACUGUCAGCUAAGUGGCGCACGGGUGAGUAAUAUAUAGUUAACCUGCCCUCUAGAAAGGAAUAACAGUUGGAAACGACUGCUAAUGCCCUAUAUGCCCAUAAUACAUAAGUAUGCUGGGGAAACGCUUUAGUGCUAGAGGAUGGGACUGUAUGGUAUCAGUUAGUUGGUGAGGUAAUGGCUCACCAAGACAAUGACGCCUAACUGGUUUGAGAGGAUGAUCAGUCACACUGGAACUGAGACACGGUCCAGACUCCUACGGGAGGCAGCAGUGGGGAAUAUUGCACAAUGGAGGAAACUCUGAUGCAGCAACGCCGCGUGGAGGAUGACACUUUUCGGAGCGUAAACUCCUUUUAUAUAGGAAGAUAAUGACGGUACUAUAUGAAUAAGCACCGGCUAACUCCGUGCCAGCAGCCGCGGUAAUACGGAGGGUGCAAGCGUUACUCGGAAUCACUGGGCGUAAAGAGCGUGUAGGCGGGUUAAUAAGUUGGGAGUGAAAUCCUAUGGCUCAACCAUAGAACUGCUUUCAAAACUGUUAACCUAGAAUAUGGGAGAGGUAGAUGGAAUUUCUGGUGUAGGGGUAAAAUCCGUAGAGAUCAGAAGGAAUACCGAUUGCGAAGGCGAUCUACUGGAACAUUAUUGACGCUGAGACGCGAAAGCGUGGGGAGCAAACAGGAUUAGAUACCCUGGUAGUCCACGCCCUAAACGAUGUACACUAGUUGUUGCGAUGCUAGACAUUGCAGUAAUGCAGUUAACACAUUAAGUGUACCGCCUGGGGAGUACGGUCGCAAGAUUAAAACU